GAUGAACGCUGGCGGCGUGCUUAACACAUGCAAGUCGAACGAACCUUCGGGUUAGUGGCGGACGGGUGAGUAACGCGUGGGAAUCUGCCCUCAGGAGGGGGAUAACGGUUGGAAACGGCCGCUAAUACCCCAUAUGCCGAGAGGUGAAAUGAAUUUCGCCUGAGGAUGAGCCCGCGUCUGAUUAGCUAGUUGGUGAGGUAAUGGCUCACCAAGGCAUCGAUCAGUAGCUGGUCUGAGAGGAUGAUCAGCCACACUGGGACUGAGACACGGCCCAGACUCCUACGGGAGGCAGCAGUGGGGAAUUUUCCGCAAUGGGCGCAAGCCUGACGGAGCAACGCCGCGUGAGGGAUGAAGGCCUCUGGGCUGUAAACCUCUUUUCUCAAGGAAGAAGAUCUGACGGUACUUGAGGAAUAAGCCACGGCUAAUUCCGUGCCAGCAGCCGCGGUAAUACGGGAGUGGCAAGCGUUAUCCGGAAUUAUUGGGCGUAAAGCGUCCGCAGGCGGCUUUUCAAGUCUGCUGUUAAAACGUGGAGCUUAACUCCAUCAAGGCAGUGGAAACUGAUUGGCUUGAGUGUGGUAGGGGCAGAGGGAAUUCCCGGUGUAGCGGUGAAAUGCGUAGAUAUCGGGAAGAACACCAGUGGCGAAGGCGCUCUGCUGGGCCAUAACUGACGCUCAUGGACGAAAGCCAGGGGAGCGAAAGGGAUUAGAUACCCCUGUAGUCCUGGCCGUAAACGAUGAACACUAGGUGUCGGGGGAAUCGACCCCCUCGGUGUCGUAGCCAACGCGUUAAGUGUUCCGCCUGGGGAGUACGCACGCAAGUGUGAAACUCAAAGGAAUUGACGGGGGCCCGCACAAGCGGUGGAGUAUGUGGUUUAAUUCGAUGCAACGCGAAGAACCUUACCAGGGUUUGACAUCCUGCGAAUCUCUUGGAAACGAGAGAGUGCCUUUGGGAACGCAGUGACAGGUGGUGCAUGGCUGUCGUCAGCUCGUGUCGUGAGAUGUUGGGUUAAGUCCCGCAACGAGCGCAACCCACGUUUUUAGUUGCCAGCAUUCAGUUGGGCACUCUAGAGAGACCGCCGGUGAUAAACCGGAGGAAGGUGUGGAUGACGUCAAGUCAUCAUGCCCCUUACAUCCUGGGCUACACACGUACUACAAUGCUACGGACAAAGGGCAGCAAGUUCGCGAGGACAAGCAAAUCCCAUAAACCGUGGCUCAGUUCAGAUCGUAGGCUGCAACUCGCCUACGUGAAGAAGGAAUCGCUAGUAAUCGCAGGUCAGCAUACUGCGGUGAAUACGUUCCCGGGCCUUGUACACACCGCCCGUCACACCAUGGAAGUUGGCCACGCCCGAAGUCGUUACUCCAACCCUUGUGGAGGAGGACGCCGAAGGUGGGGCUGAUGACU
Molecule: ribosomal RNA, 1401 nt
Filed under: Prochlorococcus marinus str. MIT 9303
Lineage: Bacteria; Bacillati; Cyanobacteriota; Cyanophyceae; Synechococcales; Prochlorococcaceae
Description: bacterial SSU rRNA
Rfam family: Bacterial small subunit ribosomal RNA
Source: RNAcentral